Molecule: ribosomal RNA, 391 nt
Filed under: uncultured bacterium
Lineage: Bacteria
Description: bacterial SSU rRNA
Rfam family: Bacterial small subunit ribosomal RNA
Source: RNAcentral
GAGUUUGAUCUUGGCUCAGGAUGAACGCUGGCGGCGUGCUUAACACAUGCAAGUCGAGCGAUGAAGUUUCCUUCGGGAAACGGAUUAGCGGCGGACGGGUGAGUAACACGUGGGUAACCUGCCUCAUAGAGUGGAAUAGCCUUCCGAAAGGGAGAUUAAUACCGCAUAAUGUUGAAAGAUGGCAUCAUCAUUCAACCAAAGGAGCAAUCCGCUAUGAGAUGGACCCGCGGCGCAUUAGCUAGUUGGUGGGUAACGGCCUACCAAGGCGACGAUGCGUAGCCGACCUGAGAGGGUGAUCGGCCACAUUGGGACUGAGACACGGCCCAGUACUCCUACGGGAGGCAGCUAGUGGGGAAUUUGCACAAUGGGGGAAACCCUGAUGCAGCAACGC